RNAcentral lists this ribosomal RNA (503 nucleotides) under uncultured bacterium. Its description in RNAcentral is "partial 16S ribosomal RNA". It matches the Rfam family "Bacterial small subunit ribosomal RNA", at positions 30 to 523 of the family's 1533-position model. The record is from RNAcentral.
AUUGAACGCUGGCGGCAGGCUUAACACAUGCAAGUCGAGCGGGGUGAUGGUGCUUGCACUAUCACUUAGCGGCGGACGGGAGAGUAAUGCUUAGGAAUCUGCCUAUUAGUGGGGGACAACAUCUCGAAAGGGAUGCUAAUACCGCAUACGUCCUACGGGAGAAAGCAGGGGAUCACUUGUGACCUUGCGCUAAUCGAUGAGCCUAAGUCGGAUUAGCUAGUUGGUGGGGUAAAGGCCUACCAAGGCGACGAUCUGCAGCGGGUCUGAGAGGAUGAUCCGCCACACUGGGACUGAGACACGGCCCAGACUCCUACGGGAGGCAGCAGUGGGGAAUAUUGGACAAUGGGGGGAACCCCGAUCCAGCCAUGCCGCGUGUGUGAAGAAGGCCUUAUGGUUGUAAAGCACUUUAAGCGAGGAGGAGGCUCUUUUGGUUAAUACCCAAGAUGAGUGGACGUUACUCGCAGAAUAAGCACCGGCUAACUCUGUGCCAGCCGCCGCCGUAA